This 499-nucleotide ribosomal RNA is filed under the name uncultured bacterium. RNAcentral describes it as "bacterial SSU rRNA". It matches the Rfam family "Bacterial small subunit ribosomal RNA", at positions 28 to 526 of the family's 1533-position model. The record is from RNAcentral.
GAUGAACGCUAGCGGCAGGCUUAACACAUGCAAGUCGAGGGGCAGCACGUCUUCGGAUGGUGGCGACCGGCGCACGGGUGCGUAACGCGUAUACAAUCUACCUUUUACAGGGGCAUAGCCCGGGGAAACCCGGAUUAAUAUCCCAUGGUAUUAUUAAAUGGCAUCGUUUGAUAAUUAAAGCUUCGGCGGUAAAAGAUGAGUAUGCGUCCUAUUAGUUAGUUGGUAAGGUAACGGCUUACCAAGGCAGCGAUAGGUAGGGGUCCUGAGAGGGAGAUCCCCCACACUGGUACUGAGACACGGACCAGACUCCUACGGGAGGCAGCAGUGAGGAAUAUUGGACAAUGGGCGAGAGCCUGAUCCAGCCAUGCCGCGUGCAGGAAGACUGCCCUAUGGGUUGUAAACUGCUUUUAUACGGGAAGAAACACCCCUUCGUGAAGGGGCUUGACGGUACCGUAUGAAUAAGGAUCGGCUAACUCCGUGCCAGCCGCCGCCGUAACAC